ACCAGCUUUAGUGUCCUCAUGGUCCUGCCU
RNAcentral lists this non-coding RNA (30 nucleotides) under Mus musculus (house mouse). The record is from RNAcentral. Lineage: Eukaryota; Metazoa; Chordata; Mammalia; Rodentia; Muridae.